Molecule: non-coding RNA, 5774 nt
Organism: Podarcis lilfordi (Lilford's wall lizard)
Lineage: Eukaryota; Metazoa; Chordata; Lepidosauria; Squamata; Lacertidae
Source: the annotation of a GenBank genome assembly
AGUAAUAGAUUAUAAAAAUGUAGAAUAAUGAUAGCAAUCUCGGUGAAGACAUCUACCAGGAAACAUGUACUUCCAAUAUACUUGCACCUUUAGAUGAAGUAAUCUCACUGCUAAUGCAGCCUUACGUAUACAACAGAGUUUUUAUUAGUUCAAUAAAAAACAACCCCUACAACCCACUUUUAAGAUGCCAUCACAUAAUAUGAAAUGCCACUGAAGAUAAACACAUCUAUCUCCUUGUUCAUUUCCGUCAAAGUAACACCACUGCAGUCUCACAAUAACCUGAAUCCAAAAAAGCAAUUUUCAUCUCCAGUUUUGCUCUUUAUGAGUUAACUUAACCCUCUCUCUUUUUUUUAAUCCGUGUUUCUCCUAGCUUCCAUCUUUCUUGUACUUACACCUCCCUCCUCCUUGAUUUGCCUUUUCCAAUAUUUCACUUCCUUUGGGAUUACAGUGGUACCUCACAAGACGAAUGCCUCGCAAGACAAAAAACUCGCUAGACGAAAGGGUUUUUUGAGCUGCUUCACAAAACGAUUUUCCCUAUGGGCUUGCUUCGCAAGACGGAAACGUCUUGCAAGUUUGUUUCCUUUUUCUUAACACCGUUAAUACAGUUGCGACUUGACUUCGAGGAGCAACUCAUAGAACGCGGUGUGGUAGCCUUUUUUGAGGUUUUUAAAGACUUUGAUAUUUUUGAAGCUUUUCCAAAACUUUCCCGACACCGUGCUCCGCAAGACGAAAAAAAUCGCAAGACGACAAAACUCGCGAAACGAAUUUAUUUCGUCUUGCAAGGCACCACUGUAAAAGGGCUUAAGUUCAGGCAAAACUAACUUAUUUAACUUACUAUAAAAUCUUGACUUAUUCAUUGAUUCCAGAUGGGACUUAAGUUCAACUAACUCACAGGAUGAUCCAGUGCAUGCUUUACUCAGAAGUAAAUCCCACUGUUUUCAUGCAAAGAAAAGAAUGCAUAGGAUAGCGGCCUCAGUGUAGAUCCAACCCAAUUUGUUUAAUGUAAAUUUUCAAACCCUCCCUAGGUUAUAUGCAUUCAAAGCCGUUAGUUAUAACUUGCAACAGCACUGUCUGUUAAAUGUAUGCCCCUGCAAUUUUUUAAGAAUUAUAUGAUUUAGGAAACAAAGCAGAAUUGUGCUUUCAGUUUGCAAUGUUUAGAUACAAUGCAGUUUUUUUUACAAACUCAAUAUAAACUGCGAAAUAGCCCUCAAAAUCUUCGUUUCUUAAAAAUUAGCAGCUGCUCUAUCAGUCGUUUCAGUUUCCCAAGGCUGCCAGGCUCCUGGUCUUAUACAUUAGAAGAGAGCAUGUGGGUUUAAGGAGUGAAAAAGAGAUACCAUGGCCUUCCUUAUAUACUUGCACAUUUGACAUUAGCAUAACUCUUUCAGGAGUCAUUCCUGUUUGACACUGGUAUACAUUACAGCAAACUUGUAAUCCUAUUUCCACCUCAUUACUGGUGGAAAUAACCAAGAUAUUUAAGCCCUUUUUAGGGGCAGGAAUGCCUUCCCACUAUUUGUUGUGGCAUCCACCUGAUUGUGAUAAAACAACCAUGAGCAUUAGUGGUCAGGAACAACAUAACCUUAAGAAACAUAAUCUUAAGAAAGCGCACUCUUCUUCCAGUACAUAGGAAUAUUUGUGGGAACACUAGGAUCCAACCACAAAGCAAACACAGCAGCACCAUUUGCAGUCUACUUCAGAGCUUCCAAAACUUACACCACUAUAACAUGACAAGUCUUCCCCUACACUGAUGCAUUUGAACACUCUUCCUCACACAGCUUCUUAUGAGCUGCUUAGAGUUGUUCUGGCCAAACCCAGCAUCAGCAAGGACUAUGAAGCCUUUUUGGCUAGUGAGGUGCAGCUAGAUAGAGAUAUCACCAUUUCCUAAGUACUGUACUGGAUUGUGCUGAAGCUGAAGGGGCAUGCUAUUUGUUUGCUUACUACAAUUUAUCAAACGAGACAUAAAAAUAUAUUAAAAUAUUGCAAUUAAAAUAUGGGUAAGUAAAGCAGAAGGAAGUGAAGUAAAAACAAAAAUAAAGUGCUACUUUAUUUAAUCCUAUAAAAUCAGUCUACAGGAGGUACUUUAUUGUAUACCAGGAAUUAUUACAGAAUCUGCAUAUGGUAGCUGUAAUCACAGACCUUCCAGCAUGCAAAAGCUAGUUAACCAUUGUGGCAAUAAUCCCAGAUAGUGUUGGAUGGACCCAUAAUCUUUCCAGGGGUUGGCAAACUUUUUCAGCAGAGGGCCAGUCCACUGUCCCUCAGACCUUGUCGGGGGCCGGACUGUAUUUUUUUUGGGGGGGGGGGAAUGAACAAAUUCCUAUGCCCCACAAAUAACCCAGAGAUGCAUUUUAAAUGAAAGGACACAUUCUACUCAUGUAAAAACACACUGAUUCCCAGAUUCUCCGCGGGCUGGAUUUAGAAGGUGAUUGGGCCUUAGUUUGCCUACCCAUGAUCUUUUCUGUCCAAAUCUGGACAGAUUUUUUAAAUGAGUAAAAAAAUUGGGGGUCAGGCUUUUUCUUUGUAAAAUUAACCACAUUUACCUUGAUUUUACCCUUUGUCAAAAUCAUUAAACAGGGUUCUCUUUGCUUGCAAGUGCAUGAAAUCAAAUAUGCCACUUCAGAGCUAUCCUACAAUUUAAUCCAACAAUUCUUCACAUUCAUGUAGCUAUCAACAACUUGAACACAGGUUUUCUAAACAGAUAUACAUCAUUCUCCAAUAAGUAAAUAUAUCAACAGUUUUCUGGAAGAACAUAAUUUCAUGUCACUCAGGCUUCUAAAACUAAUAGUCAGCCUCCUCCUUUUUAAAGUAUAAACCAAUAAAAGACAGCAAAAAGCUUUACAUCAUCAUUUAUCAUUUCUGCUGCUCAUUAAACCAGUAUAGCACAGCAUUUGCUACAUCUGCCAAUUACUUUUAUACACCAUCCAACACAUAUGCAAUUCUCAACUUAAGCAUUUGAACACUAUCCGAAGCAUUUCCUGACAUUUUAUACGAUAGGGCUAGAACAUGACUAGUCAUCUUGGUCAUAAGUCACCUUGUUUCUACAUUGCAGGUGGACUCACUUCUAAAAAGCACUCCCAGAACUCCAGCUUAAUUCAUACUCCUACACUGAGUGAACUUAAAUGCAAAACUUGUUCUUUUUGAUUAAUUGACUUUUCCUGGUUAUAAACAUGAGAACAUGCUAUUUCCACUCUAAAUAGCUCAAAUGACAAUGUGUUAAACUAAAAGCAUUCAGCUGAAGAGUAGUCACACACAAAUUUAGUAAUAAUUAUGCAAGGAAAGUUUCAAAGGGAGCUUGGUAUGAAUUAUUAGGCUUGAUUCCUUCCGUUUGUCCUUGAGCCGCAUUCAAUAGUAUAUAAUUGGUGCGGUGUGCACUUAAUACAGAUUUAUUUUUUCAUAUGACUCACUGGCAUCUUCUUCACCAAAUGUAUUUUAAAUAUCUUAAGCUAGCGUGUGUGUAUUAAUAAACCCUGCAUUUAUAAGUAAUACAUUUUAUUCACACAUAUAUAUACAAAAGCAUAUACACACACAUUCACAUUCCAGUGUACUGCAACUUACAACUAGUGCACAUGCUACUCUUUCCAUGCAGAUCCCACAGAAGAAUGGAAUCCAUCCCCUGGUGAGUUUUCUGUGCCUGGCUAGGACAUGAAGCAGGGCCAUACUAUUACAGAAGUCCCUAGCUCCAACACAUAUCAUUAGUAGCUGCAGGCCAGAGUGGAAAAACCACACAAUUUGAGGGUGAGGGCGGUGGGGGGUGGAAAUAAGUCAACUACAUCCUAUUCAGAGUAGAAAUCAGUGAAGCUAAGUUGGUCAUGACCAUUAAUUUCAAUGGGUCAACUCCCAAGUUGACUGAAUAUCACCCAAUGACCCAAGUCCAAAUCACAUGGCUGAGAAUGAAAGCUUGCCAGCAGUUCUGCUUGGAAAUUUUGUAUGCAGACUACUUAUUACUUAUGGCUGCAGUCCUCAGAUCAAUUUGCUCAUGAGUAAGGUCCAUUCAUUUUGGUAGAGUUUACUCCCUAUAAAUGUGCUUGGGAUCUCUGCUUCCCUUUAACAUAUGAAAUGAUGGUGUAUCUGCAUAAAAAAGAAAUUUGCUGUCAUAAUGGAGACACAUUUGCUAGAACUGGGUUCUAAAGGUACAGGUAAGCUUUAGCUUAUUAUUACAGUGCUGCAUCAUUCACAGAAAAUUCUUAUUUAAUAAUAGGACCACAAGCAAAUAUUUAUGUAAAUAGAUAUUUUUUUCGUGUUGAUAUUUUGUGGUACACAUAUAGCUUUUUAUUUAGAACUUCAUUGCAUUAUUCUUUCAUUUUCUUAUUUGUAAGGUAAUGUUUUUAGAUCAAAGUAGACUUGAAUUAAUGUCAUAAUUGUCAGUAUUACUGAAACUUAUGUCAACUGUACCGUUGUCCAUCUGUCCCAUAGUUUUUAGAUCAUCAUCUAGUUAUUUGGCAUUGUUGCAAGUGCCUUAAAAUUCAUGGCAUCCUAUUUAAAAAAAAUACAAAUUUGGUGUUAUGCUGCAUGACAAAGACAAACACACCUCAAAAUGUUGUCCUUUCUUAGCUUGCUGCGUUUUACAGUUCUUUCGGCUAACAGUUUAUAAGCCUUUAUUAUAUAAUAUUGAUGAAUUACAGAAAUGAUGAAGUUGUUCUCUUAUUUCUGUUAUAAAUGUACCAGAGCUGUGUAUCUGUUAAUGAGAUACAGCGUCAUUUCUGUGAAAUGUAUAAAUGUAUGUGCAGGUCAAAUUAAUAUAUGACAUACUAUCAGUCUGUAUACAGGUAUUCCUGUUUUGCUAAGCUGUGCAAAUUUUAAAACUGUAGUGCAGUAAAAGUUCUAACAUAUCACAUUUUAUAAUAGGCUCCAUUGCAAAAAUAUUCCGAUCAGACCAAUGAUUAGCAAACUGACUGUCAAAUUUACACCAAACAAAAAAAAACAUAUUCUUUCCAUUGUGAAACCAAUGACUGCAGAAGGAGUGAAUCUUGUUGCACCACUGAACAAAACAGGACCAGUGCUUUCUAUGAGUUUCCUUGUAUAUGCAAAUGUUUCUGAGACAAACUCUCAGUAGUACACCUAGAAAGCUAAACACUGAAAGUGUGUUAUUUGUCCUCUUCCUCUGUGAACAGUCCACUCCAUAAACAGACCACAGCACUGAGACAUUGAUGUUUCAGGCUUUAAUAGCAAAGGGAAAUUGAUUCAGCGUUGCCUACUACCGUACUUAUUCCAAUGUAUGCUGUUUUUACACUGGUGGCUUCCUUUAUAAUCUUAAUGGCUAUUUUUCCUUUGGUUUUCUUCUUACUGAGGAUUCUACAUGAAAGAGGAGGAUUUAGUUUUGUUUGUCCAAGAAUACACUUUCAUCAAAUGGUCUUUGACCAGUUGCACUCUUUUGAUGUAGACUAAAACGAAAACAAAAACUUUUUAUCAUAAACUUAACUGCUUUUGUUUUGCUCUGUAUUUUCCCUGCAGCUGUAAUUGCCGAGUGCCUGUUGUAUACUUUAUAGAGUUGAAAUAAAAAAAAUUACUUUUGAAUAUUUUUGCCUUGUUCAUAUUUCUACCUUCUGAUGUGUUUCGAAUUGCAUUUUAAACAGUUGUUAAGCUGUCAACUAUUUCAACACUGAAUACUAGCUGAAGGAAAGACAGCAUACAGCACGGGUCAACAAACUUUUUUAGCAGGGGGCCGGUCCACUGUCCCUCAGACCUUGUGGGGGGCCGGACUAUAUUUUGGGGGGAAAAUGAACGACUUCCUAUGCCCCACAAAUAACCCAGAGAUGCAUUUUAAAUAAAAGGACACAUUC